UGGGGAAUCUUGGACAAUGGGCGCAAGCCUGAUCCAGCCUACGCCGCGUGAAGGAUGAAGUAUUUCGGUAUGUAAACUUCGAAAGAAUAGGAAGAAUAAAUGACGGUACUAUUUAUAAGGUCCGGCUAACUACGUGCCAGCAGCCGCGGUAAUACGUAGGGACCAAGCGUUGUUCGGAUUUACUGGGCGUAAAGGGCGCGUAGGCGGCAAUUCAAGUCAUCUGUGAAAUCUCCGGGCUUAACUCGGAACGGUCAGAUGAUACUGCUUUGCUAGAGUGCAGAAGGGGCAAUCGGAAUUCUUGGUGUAGCGGUGAAAUGCGUAGAUAUCAAGAGGAACACCUGAGGUGAAGACGGGUUGCUGGGCUGACACUGACGCUGAGGCGCGAAAGCCAGGGGAGCAAACGGGAUUAGAUACC
Molecule: ribosomal RNA, 415 nt
Filed under: uncultured bacterium
Lineage: Bacteria
Description: bacterial SSU rRNA
Rfam family: Bacterial small subunit ribosomal RNA
Source: RNAcentral